AUUGAACGCUGGCGGAAUGCUUUACACAUGCAAGUCGAACGGCAGCACGGACUUCGGUCUGGUGGCGAGUGGCGAACAGGUGAGUAAUGUAUCGGAACGUGCCCAGUCGUGGGGGAUAACGUAGUGAAAAUUACGCUAAUACCGCAUACGAUCUAUGGAUGAAAGCGGGGGAUCGCAAGACCUCGCGCGAUUGGAGCGGCCGAUAUCAGAUUAGGUAGUUGGUGGGGUAAAGGCCCACCAAGCCAACGAUCUGUAGCUGGUCUGAGAGGACGAGCAGCCACACUGGAACUGAGACACGGUCCAGACUCCUACGGGAGGCAGGAGUGGGGAAUUUUGGACAAUCGGCGAAAGCCUGAUCCAGCCAUUCCGCGUGCAGGAUGAAGGCCCUCGGGUUGUAAACUGCUUUUGUACAGAACGAAAAGGUUUCUACUAAUACUAGGAGCUCAUGACGGUACUGUAAGAAUAAGCACCGGCUAACUACGUGCCAGCCGCCGCCGUAA
RNAcentral lists this ribosomal RNA (500 nucleotides) under uncultured bacterium. RNAcentral describes it as "partial 16S ribosomal RNA". It matches the Rfam family "Bacterial small subunit ribosomal RNA", at positions 30 to 523 of the family's 1533-position model. The record is from RNAcentral.